RNAcentral lists this unclassified non-coding RNA (485 nucleotides) under Hevea brasiliensis (rubber tree). The record is from RNAcentral. Lineage: Eukaryota; Viridiplantae; Streptophyta; Magnoliopsida; Malpighiales; Euphorbiaceae.
GUCACUUCGAUAGCGAUGGAGAUGGCAAGAUUUCAAGCGAGGAACUUGGUGCUUAUUUCACAUCCGUAGGAGAGUCCAUGUCACCUGAAAACGUUCAAAGAGUCAUCAAAGAUUUCGACACUGAUGGCGACAACUUGCUGGAAUUUAAUGACUUCGCUCGAUUGGUUGAAGGAGACAACUGCAUUGAUGAUGAUCUUAGAAGGGCUUUCGAGGUGUUUGAAGGAGACGAUAAGGGUGGUGGGUGCAUUACAGCAAGAGGGUUACAAGGGGCAUUUAAUCGUUUAGGAGAAGCAAAGUCUCUUGAAGAAUGUGUAGCUAUGAUUAGAGUAUUUGAUCUCGAUGGCAAUGGCGUACUUGAUUUUCAUGAAUUCCACAAAAUGAUGACUUGAUUUAGUUCUGCUGUAGUUUGUGCUAGAAAUAUCAAGAUUUUUAGACCAUUUUCUGCCUGGUAGAUUUUUGUUAAUUACUCUCCUAUUGCAUCUUUA